Non-coding RNA from Picea glauca (white spruce), 1592 nucleotides. Lineage: Eukaryota; Viridiplantae; Streptophyta; Pinopsida; Pinales; Pinaceae. The record is from Rfam.
GACCGAGUAUCGUCCAUGCCUGGUUGUACACAUAACUGCAUCAGGUCUCCAAGGUGAACAACCUCUAGUCAAUAGAAAAAUGUAGGUAAGGGAAGUCGGCAAAAUGGAUCCAUAACUUCGGGAAAAGGAUUGGCUCUAAGGGCUGGGCCUAGGGGUCUGCGUCCUCAACCCAUGGGCUAUCUGCAGUCUUCCCAAGCUGCUAUUGCGGCGAGGGUAGGUAGUCACAUGCCUAUUAGGCUACAGACAUAGAAUGUCCUCUCAUGGGGGAUAUUCCCUAGGCGGUGAACAGUCGACUCAGAACUGGUACGGACAAGGGGAAUCUGACUGUUUAAUUAAAAAAAAGCAUUGCGAUGGUCCCUGUGGAUGCUAAUGCAAUGUGAUUUCUGCCCAGUGCUUUGAAUGUCAAAGUGAAGAAAUUCAACCAAGCGCGGGUAAACGGUGGGAGUAACUAUGACUCUCUUAAGGUAGCCAAAUGCCUCGUCAUCUAAUUAGUGACAUGCAUGAAUGGAUUAAUGAGAUUCCCACUAUCCCUAUCUACUAUCUAGCAAAACCACAGCCAAGGGAACGGGCUUGGCAGAAUCAGUAGGGAAAGAAGACCCUGUUGAGCUUGACUCUAGUCCAACUUUGUGAAAUGACUUGAGAGGUGUAGAAUAAGUGGGAGUCAUUUUCGGUGCAAGUGAAAUACCACUACUUUUAACAUUAUUUUACUUAUUCCAUGGGGUGGAGACGGGGCACUGCCCCUGUUUUUGGCCUUAAGACACGUUUCGACGGGUUGAUUUGGGUGGAAGACAUUUUCAGGUGGGGAGUUUGGUUGGGGUGGCACAUCUAUUAAAAGAUAAUGCAGGUGUCCUAAGAUGAGCUCAAUGAGAAUAGAAAUCUCGUGUGGAACAAAAGGGUAAAAGCUCAUUUGAUUUUGAUUUUCAGUAUGAAUACAAACCGUGAAAGCAUGGCCUAUCGAUCCUUUAGACUUUUGAAAUUUGAAGCUAGAGGUGUCAGAAAAUUUACCACAGGGAUAAAUGGCUUUUGGAAGCCAAGCAUUCAUAGCGACGUUGAUUUUUGAUCCUUUGAUGUCGGCUCUUCCUCUCACUGUGAAGCAAAAUUCACCAAGUGUUGGAUUGUUCACCUGACAAUAGGGAACGUGAGUUGGGUUUAGAAUGUUGUGAGAUAGGUUAGUUUUACCCUACUGAUGAACUGUGCCACAAUAUUAAUUCAACUUAGUACGAGAGGAACCAUUGAUUCACACAAAUUUUCAUCGUGCUUGGUUGAAAAUCCAGUGGCACGAAGCUACCGUGUGUCGAAUUAUGAUUGAAGGCCUCUAAGUCAGAAUCCAUGCUAGAAGCAGUGCUUUUCACUCCUCGACUGUAUCUUAACCUGUAGUAGGGGUGUCUCUUCGGCACCCCCAGGGGCCCGUGUCACUUGCGAACCUCAGGCGGGAAGUGUCUUGGUCGAUGCAACUUUGAAGUUCAAUUUCAAACGAUCGUUGAGAAGAAUCCUUUGCAGACGACUUAAAUACAUGACGGGGUAUUGUAAGUGGCAGAGUGGCCUUGCUGCCACGAUCCACUGAUAUUCAUCCCUUCUUCGCUUCGAUUCAG